CCCGUAGGCGGGCAAUUAAGUCAGAGGUGAAAUCCCACAGCUCAACUGUGGAACUGCCUUUGAUACUGGUUGUCUUGAGUUAUAGUGAAGUAGAUAGAAUAUGUAGUGUAGCGGUGAAAUGCAUAGAUAUUACAUAGAAUACCGAUUGCGAAGGCAGUCUACUAACUGUAUACUGACGCUAAUGGACGAAAGCGUGGGGAGCGAACAGGAUUAGAUACCCUGGUAGUCC
This 229-nucleotide ribosomal RNA is filed under the name uncultured bacterium. Its description in RNAcentral is "partial 16S ribosomal RNA". It matches the Rfam family "Bacterial small subunit ribosomal RNA", at positions 568 to 796 of the family's 1533-position model. The record is from RNAcentral.